CACGUAGGUGUCCUGUUAAGUCAGUUGUGAAAUCCCUGGGCUCAACCCAGGAACUGCGACUGAUACUGGCAGGAUUGAGUAUGGAAGAGGAGAGCGGAAUUCCCAGUGUAAGAGUGAAAUCUGUAGAUAUUGGGAGGAACACCGUUGGCGAAAGCGGCUCUCUGGUCCAAUACUGACACUGAGGUGCGAAAGCUAGGGGAGCAAACAGGAUUAGAUACCCUGGUAGUCC
Molecule: ribosomal RNA, 229 nt
Filed under: uncultured bacterium
Lineage: Bacteria
Description: partial 16S ribosomal RNA
Rfam family: Bacterial small subunit ribosomal RNA
Source: RNAcentral